GGUCUUCCUAUGGGUCAACCUAACCAGCGGUUCAGUUUUUAUUUUUUAGAAAAAUUCGUGAGUGGUGCCGUGGUCGUAAACUUGGCUCUGAUACCACCUUAAUCUGUCACGCUCUGAGGUCCCGUUUUAAGAAAAAGAAAAGUUGAAGUGCCUAAUUUUCUUUUUUAAAAAAUCUUGACCCCAGGGGAUGCCAGAUCUGCCACAAAUAUAGAAAACCCAUUGUUCACAUGGACAGAGUCUCCCUUAUAUUUGCACGGCGUCACACAAGUACAAGAUACAACCACAAACAUGCACAAACCAUGUAUACAUUCACCACAUCACAAUGUCACGAUUUACAUUCAAUCAAUCGCAAGAUUAUAAUAUUUCAUUCAUAAAUCCACAUCUAUUAUUUAAAACGUUUCUCACCUGAAAACUCAUUUUUAAAUACUAGAAUUACGAAAAGCGAAAAAUCCUUUUUAAAAUCGUUUCCUACACAAAAACCUUUUCUUUUAAAAACAGGCUAUCACGAGGAGUAGAAAAUUAUUUUCAUGAUUCCAUAUGAAAACCAAAAAAAUAUAUAUAUAAUUCCAUAUGAAAACCACAAAUACUUUUAUUCAAUUUCAAACCUAUAAUAUGAAUAAAAUAAAAACCAAGUUAAGUUAAUU
Molecule: long non-coding RNA, 644 nt
Filed under: Ananas comosus (pineapple)
Lineage: Eukaryota; Viridiplantae; Streptophyta; Magnoliopsida; Poales; Bromeliaceae
Description: long non-coding RNA (ACOM_LNC019727)
Source: RNAcentral